GAUGAACGCUGGCGGCGUGCCUAAUACAUGCAAGUCGAGCGAACAGACGAGGAGCUUGCUCCUCUGACGUUAGCGGCGGACGGGUGAGUAACACGUGGAUAACCUACCUAUAAGACUGGGAUAACUUCGGGAAACCGGAGCUAAUACCGGAUAAUAUAUUGAACCGCAUGGUUCAAUAGUGAAAGACGGUUUUGCUGUCACUUAUAGAUGGAUCCGCGCCGCAUUAGCUAGUUGGUAAGGUAACGGCUUACCAAGGCAACGAUGCGUAGCCGACCUGAGAGGGUGGUCGGCCACACUGGAACUGAGACACGGUCCAGACUCCUACGGGAGGCAGCAGUAGGGAAUCUUCCGCAAUGGGCGAAAGCCUGACGGAGCAACGCCGCGUGAGUGAUGAAGGUCUUCGGAUCGUAAAACUCUGUUAUGAGGGAAGAACAAAUGUGUAAGUAACUAUGCACGUCUUGACGGUACCUAAUCAGAAAGCCACGGCUAACUACGUG
Molecule: ribosomal RNA, 497 nt
Filed under: uncultured bacterium
Lineage: Bacteria
Description: partial 16S ribosomal RNA
Rfam family: Bacterial small subunit ribosomal RNA
Source: RNAcentral